UUGCAUACGAAAACUCGGUCUUUGUUCGUGUUCUCGUGUUUGAUUGGGGAGGAAUCGGGUUCCCUGGACAAAAGCAUUAGGCAAUUGACCAAGUCUAAGGUCUCGUCUUGCCUGCUUCUCUUCAUGGCUGACGGGUUUAAGGUUUCGGGUUUAGGGUUCAGCUCGCAGGAGCAAAGCGAAGAAGUAAGCUGGAAAGGAAAGAUUUGGAAGUGGAUGAGAUUUGUGUGAGUGUUUUCGAAACUUUUAAGGUUGUUCUUGCUGAUGCUCGAAGUGGAUGGAAUGAGAGUUGGGAAGUUAGAGGGGACGUAUUUAUAGGAGGGAGGUAUGUUUUGCAGACUUGUGGCUUACGGAGUAAGCGAAGUGGUGCUAGUCUUGGGGGUUAAGUAACGGAACAGUUUGGAUAAUUUUGUUAAAGUGUUUUAAAUUUGAGUGGUGAUUGUGGUUAGCGCCGUCAUUGUUAAGUUCCGAUGGCGUCACCGCGUUGCUGUACUAAGCUUCCCGAAGCAGUCGUUUUGUUGAGGCGAUCGGUUGGAACUCUGGAAUGUUAUAUUUUUGUUGGUCAAAACUCUGGAAUGUGCCGAACGUUCUAGAUCCUUUACUCGGUAUCCAUGGUCACACGCAUCCAAGGCGCGUGUCAAACAUAAACUAGUCUUUUUCUUUUUCAUAUUUUCUUUUGGGUUUACAAAUAAGUUUUAAAUGUAGGUGUGCGGAAAGUUGAGUGGUAGAGUAUUUAUAAAUUUUUAAUAUUUAAUACUGUAGUUUUUCAUGAACAAUUUAUAAUAAAUUGAGUAUUGUUGCAGUCCUAUUAGAUUAGCGAUGUAGUUGUGUAAAUCCUAGUAUAUUUUGGAAUAUCUCUUAUGUUCCUAUUAGAAGUUGAUUACCUAUUAAAUGUUGUAAUCAUAAAGGGAAAUUUUUUUACCCAUCCUACUACUAUAAUUAAAGGCACAAUGAGGUGGAAUAGAACACAUCUACGAUUACACAUCUCUCAUCUUCUCUCUCUAGCCGCACUCUCCCCAUCUCUCUAUGGCCUCCAUAAUUGUUUAGUAAAUUAUGCUUACAACACGUUAUCAGCACGCUCUUGACACUACGCUAACAAGAGAGUUUGAUCUUCAAUCAGGGGAGUAUUACGUAAUCAUUCUUCUUAUGAUUAAUUAAUUAUUUUAUUGAAUUGAUCUACAUGAUAUUGAUUCAAUUUCAUUUUUCUGUGUUGAACGUGAUACAACGCAUUGGAGAUGCAAUUCCGGCUUUCUGAGAAGAAUUUUCUACAAAUUCAAAGGUUUUUGUCAUUUUCUGCCAAUUAGGUACGCUUAAAAUAAAGUAAAAUAUUUGAAACGAGCUUGAAGCAUGAAAACAUUCUCCAUGAUGCAUGAACUCCCCUAUGUUUAUAUUUUCCUUCUGAUAUAUAUAUAUAUAUAUAUAUAUAUAUAUAUAUAUUGUAUAUGUUCAUAUAUUUGUCAAUAUAUAUAUUUGUUUCAUGCAUCGCAUAAUUAAAUUGUUAUGUGGAAUAUGUAAGUCAAAAUAUCAAAUUAAAUUAGAAGCAAUUCUAGGGUUUCUUAAACCCUACCUAUGUUGAAAAAUUGUGGGAAUUUGGAUAUGGUAUGGCACCACCCAUUGCGGCACAAACUGGGCAGCAGCCCUCUGGGCUUUGCUGCAUUCGCAUGGACCUUGACUGCAGCUUUGCUGCGAGCAUAUGCACACCUCAGGCCUUUGGCCUGGUUGGGUUGUCUCGGGCCCAUAGUCCCCAAUCAUCAAGGAAGUCUGCAACUUUUCUUUUUGGACCCCCCUUUGCUCUCGGCCCAUGCCAGCAAGCUGUCAUGCUUGCUAGGCCACUGUUCCGCUUGCACCAAGGCUUAUUGCCUACUCCAGUAUCAACCCAUAUACAUGGGUUUGGUCCCUGCAUGACGCCAGCCCCUAUGGCUGGGCUUCAGUGCAUUAACAGGCCAUCAAAUCUGCUGGGACUUGUCCCGUGCCAUCCCCUUGGCCCAACCUUGAAACCCAGCUACGGCUGGGGUUUCUCUCUCACCCCCGUGGCCUACAACCCACUCCCAAGGCCAUUUAGGGCCUUGUCUUUUCCUCAAGGCACCUAACCCGAGCCCAAUUAUUUUUGGGGCAAUAUUUUUCGACCCAAAUGCUAUUAUUUUAGCAUUCUAAAUAAUUUUAACCCGUAUGUUAAUAUUAUUUUGCUUCUACAAUAAACCAUGUAUGGCCCGAUUUAUUGAAUUAAUUAAAAGUGACUUGCAGUCCAUUAAUCUGAAAAUGAAUCCAAAAUUAUUGACCUGAAGAUUACUUUUGGACAUUAACGAUUCAAUAAUUUAUUUUUAUACUUUGAACUGUUGACUUACGUUCGUAGUCCUGAAGCUCUCAUACUUGAGUUCCUGAAGAAACUCAAAUCCACUACACUUAGUUGUAUAUUGCAUUAUGUGUUCUUGCAGGAACCUCUAUUUUACAAACUAAACGUUCAUAAACUAAAUUGAACCUAUAGUUUCAAAUUUGGUGCCUUUGAAACCUGAAGUUUUCAUAAAACAAUACACCCAUGAAAACCCAACAUUUUUCAUGAAAACCAUGUCUUAGAACUCGAAUGUUCUAACUUUGAUGCUUAUGGAUGAUUCAUUCCCAUAGCACCAAUCACAACCUUGUUCCCUCCAAUUUGGUGAAUUGUCAAACUAUCACAAGUUCAAUUUCCCUUAUUUGGAUGUUUGUAAAAGAAACCACUUUAUGUGGGGUACAAGACGUGAAUAUCCACUUGACUAUCGAGAAGCUGAGAAACCAUUGUAGCAAAAAAUGGCAUGGAAAAGCUGAAUAAGCCUCUGCCAUAUCUUCAUUCGAAGACUUAUACUCAAAGCAUUGCAAAUGGAAAUACCUCCCGAUCGAGGAUUCCAUGGCUCUUUGGCUCGUUCCUACGGACUGUCUAAUCAUGAAAAACAUUACCUGAAGUACACCAUGAUUCUAAAGUCAUAAAUCCGAUCGAAUUUUGAUUGGAGAAUACUUUUCUCGUCCUUCCAUGUUUCUAACUCGCCCCUGAAGCAGCAAUGUAGAAAGCGGAAGUUUACCAAAUUCUCGAAUCUGAUUACUACCACAAACGUGAGAGAAAGGUAUAGACCCAAUUCGGUUGGAGUCUAGUGAAUAGCUAGACCCAGUUCGGGCAAAGCCUACCUAAUGGUGAUGCACUGCUUUGGUAGGGAUCCACCGAAUGACAUAUUCUCUCAUAAUCCAAUUUCUAGUUUGUUUUUAUAACAUAUGGUAGAAUCAGGGCUUGCCAAGGUGUGGCAUCAUGCCCGAAGCAUGAUCUUUGGUACCUAAGACCUAAAACUUCAAGAAUAAGGGAUAGUAUUCCCAAACCUCAACCCUACAAAAUUUACUUCCGUCUUGAUGGAAUAGAUCAUUGGUUAUGCAUUUGUUCAUACCCCUACCAAUGUUGUUGAGGAGUACCAUUCUAGUAGUCAAUAUCUGAGACUAAUUUUGCUCCACCAAACACCGUUGGAAGAGCAGAAUUUUGACAUGGAUGGCCUUGUUGGCCGAAGCCCCUUAGUAAACCAUUUACUUUGUGAACAUUUUUCCAUGUUCUUGGAUUCACGUUUGGUGUAUGUUUUACUUAGGGACAAUCUUAUUGAUAUUGUCCUCGAAUAUGAGUUAAUUGAAUCAUGUUUCUUAAUACAUGUGACCGAUUCAAUUAAACACGUGAUUAGGUAGGAAUGUGGGAAAGUUAGUUCUCUGGAUGAAUGUGUACUACGCACACUAACUUUACACUUAAAUCACAUAUCUAACAGCGACUUCAGGUCUAUCCAACCUGAUUAAGAGCAUCGGCACGCUUCUCGUUGUAUGAAUAGUAUUGAAUCACCAUUUAAGAUCUUAAAUUCUCCAUCAGGUUGAGUUUUUAAGGAUAUUCGAGAUGACAAUGAUCAUAAAUGAACCACUAAAGAAAACAUAGUGAAAUAUAUUUGCACCACCUCUAAAAAUGAGCCUGAAGCUUUAAUUUAGGGCCAAUACGUUGUCUCCCAACUGGGAAUGCACCACAUGUGGCUGGCCUGAAGCCCGGUGAUUGAGCAGUUUACUUGCUUUGGCACGACCAUUUGGGACAUUUAGGUCGAACAAUGAUGCUACAACGCAUCUUCUUACCCGAAGCAAGGAUCUCGUGCCUACAAGCACACUUUGCCAAGACUACUCAUUAGGGAAAUUGAUUUUCUAUAUCAUUUCUCGCAAAUAUACAAAAUCACUCUUUUUACAGUGGAUUCAAGGGAAUAUAUGUGGACUAAUCUAACCAAAAUGUGGACCAUAUAAAUACUUAUGGUUUUGGUUGAUGAAUCGACAAACUGGUCCCAUGUUUGUCCACACACAUUGUUGCUAAACCUCUUGGCCGAUUAAGGGUUCACCACCUUACUUAUCCCUUAAGGUCCGGAAGACUGGAUAAUACCAGAGAGUGCAUAUCAACGGUUUUCAAUAAAGUAUUAUAUAUAUUUUGGGUUUAUAAUCGAAUAUUGAAUUCCCAUGUUCACCCCAAAUAGCCUCGCCUAGUAAUCAUAAAGCGCAAUUUAAAUGAUCACCCGGAUUUUGAUAAAUGUACCAAGUUUUUGGUUUCUGCUUAGGGCUAUGCAAUCUUGUACGCAGUUAUGUUGGUCCGCAUUGAGGCCCAUUGCCACCCAACCUAUAUGACGUUACAAUUGGUUACUAGGUAUGAACCUGACGAUUUUCGUGUUUACGCAUUUAGGUAAGCAUUCCAUGUGCUAAGUUGCGCCACCGCAGCGUACCAUCAUGGGUCUUUAAAAAAGGAUUUGUAUCUUUUGUCGAUCAUGAUUCUCCUUCACAUUAGCUCUCUUCGAGCCCUUGCAUGCGAUAUCUUUACCGCUCAUUUGCGGGUUGUCACUUUAAUGAGACAGUUUUCCCGCCAUUAGGGGGAGAUAAGAAUGUCAGCGUUCUUGGAGAAUGGGGCGAAUUUGCAUGGACGUUGCCCACUAUGUCUCAUCUCGAUCCUCAUACCGCACAAGUGUGAUAAGCAAGUGCGAUGAAUUCUAGCUUUCAGAAUGUUACUCCAGAAGCAUUCUUCUGAUCUAGUUAAAGUGACAAGAUGCCUGCAAGGAUAAACGUACUUAACAGACGUCGAGUCAACAUCCCUGGAGGGGGUGCCACCCUGUUGGAUGGUUUGGAAGUCCCUUGGACGGUCCGGUAUACCGGUGGAUAACCAAUCAAUCUAUCUUGGCCUGGAGCACGAUAGAUCAUUCGGUUCAUAGGAUUCAUUUCCCUAGAAGAGGAAGAUAUGGCACAACAAUGAAUCUAAACUUGAUCGUUGUCUCAAAUCAUUUCCAUCUCAUGAUAUUAAUCCGGAUUACUCCCGAGACUUGAAGUUCUUGGUCUAGUAUACUAGUUUGGAUGAGCAAAGGGAUUUGAAAUGAGAUUACCAUCGAUGAUGUUUCACUUAUAUGAUAGCUACCGACAUAAAUGAAAAACGACGAUAUCGAACUGUGUUCCAUUGAUUAAGUGACAACUUAGAACUGAUUGGAUAACUAAAGUUACAAUCCAGGUCAAAUUCCUUACCAAUGUGUGUUUUGGACCUGUCGUUCCUACACUGCCCAAGGUAACCCUAUUGUGUUACAAAUGGGAAAGGAAGCGUUAUGAAAUGAAUGAAAUAGUGUGAUAUGAUGCACGCCUUACGGCACAAGGUUUCUCUCAAAACAUCAUGUGAUUGAUAGCAACAUUAUGAAAUGUGGUUAGUAUUUUCUCCAUGGGGAUAUAAAUAUGAAGAUUUACAUGUAAGUUCUCGAAGAAUUACAUGGGCCGGUUCAAAUAGUUCCAAAACCACGGAAUACCCUCUUAACUUGCUUGAGGUGUUCACUUACAAUCCGACGGAUGUGGUAUACCCGUCUAAGUGAUUAUUUGAUCAGUCAGGGAUAUGAAUUAUGCCCUUGUGUGUUAAACUAUGAAGCCUUAUUCCAAAUUGCUAAUGUUACAGUCUAUGUCGUUAACAUGAAUCUUACUAAGACUUCGGAAGAGCUUGAGAAAACUGCCUUGCACCUGAAGAUGGAAUUUGAGAUGAAGGAUCUCGGGAAAACUCGUUUAUGUCUUGACCCGAAAUUGAAGCAUUGUUUUGACGGUAUUUUUAUCUACCAGUCGAACUACACCCCGAAUGUGUUACCUUUGAGUAUACAUAUGAUCGUCCAUACAUUAUAUGCAAAUGAGACCCUUGAAGAGGUUAUGGAAUACAAAAUUCCAUAUCUAAGUUCAACUUUGCGUUUCGUCAUACUUAGCUCAUUGUAUUUAGACAGGACAUCUCUUUCGCAGUUGAUCUUGGUAAAGAUGCAGCAUCGCGCCUACACGCAACCACUGAAUUGGUAUUAAAGACGUACCCUGAAGGUACUACGAGGGCAAAUCCUAAUGCAUCUCGAGAGGAUCCAACCCCCUGAUCCUCAGAAUGAUGUUUGCCUUGUUUGUUAUGCUGAUGCAUGUUACUUAUCAAACCAGCACAAGGCAAAAUCCCCAAAUGGUUAUGUUUUUACCAUUAGGGAUAUUGUAAUAUCUUGGAGGUCCACGAUAUGACCUUAGUUGCGAAAUCUUCGAAACGUUCCAAGACUCACCUCACUUCACUGCGCCACAAGUGAGACAUGGUUAGAAGUUCUUGUUGAGCAUAUUCGAGGUAGGGCUGGGCAAACGGGUACAAGAACCGCGGGUCGGGGCAGGUAAUGACGGUUCAGGACGGGUACGGGCCGGUUUCUACUUUUAAAAAAGAAAAACGGGACGGGCCGGGGCGGGCCUUUGUGAUUUUCGGUUCGGGCUGGUUCCUGGAGUAUAGGAACCGCGGGUACCCGGACCGGCCCGUUUGUAAUUAAAAUGAAUGGACCAGAUUGAUGAAUAAUCUACCAUAUCUAAUAUGAACCGUUGUUUUAGUUUUGCCUUAAGUUCUCUAGUCUAUCUCUCUAUCACUCUAUCUCUCUCAUCCCGAUUCCCUGACUCUCACUCUCGUCUCGGCCCUAUUAUGAACACCGCAAUCUUAUCUCGUCUCGGCGACCCGGAAGCGCAAGUGUUCUUCGCUGGAAGUAUUUGUUUCUAUUCAUUUUCUUUUCCGAUUAUCCAAACAGAAGCUAAGAAGAAGAAUCAGUCAGACGAAAUCUCACUGACCGGAGCGCCCAAUCCAAUGGCGAUUUCCGUGACGGCGUCCACGAUUCCUUGUCUCAGCUCUGACCAUAGGGCUCGCAUAGUUGCGGCGGCGGCAUCAUCCUUUUCUUCUUGUUCAAAGCUAUCCUCCUUGACUUCUCUACGAUUUCCAUCACACCUUCGACACGUUCGGAUCGGAACACGGGACUCACGGCCUCGGAUUCUUCCUCCGGUAAUCAAUUUUCCAAUUUUGUAGUUUCGCGGUUUGUUUGUUUCCCGAGAAAAUCAAGGAAAAUAUUUAAAAUUUCUGGAGCUCGCAAGUUAAAUUCCUUUUCUGAAAUUUCUCUAGUGGAUUAAAUUGCAAAUUUUAAUUUAGGGAGCAAAGCAUACAACUGGAAAUCUUAUUGUUAUCAUAUUUAUGGCAAGAAACCAAUUGCUUUGUAUUUCUUUGCCCUUUCCGUUUCCUCUAAGUUGUGAGAAAACCACAUGGGUUGGUUUUUCGGGUUUUCGAAAUUAAAGUCUUUUCGGGAGAGAAAUAUAAUUCAUAGUGAAGUGCAGGUAAAGUAAACUGUUAGUGAGAUACCCAUAUGGUGAAUUUGUGCAAAAUCUGCACAAAUGCAGUGUCACUGUGAUUGUGCAGUUGCAAAUUGCAAUCUGAGCAGUUUGCAAUCUGUGCAGUUAAAAAAAAAAAAAAAAAAAAAGGGUACCCGUGGACCCGGCCCGAAUCGGCCCGUUUCAACCGGGCCGGGUAAUGUGCGGUUCCUAUACUAGAAAAUCCAAUCCCCGCCCCGUCCCGACCCAUUUCGUUUAAGCUCCAGUUCCUACAAACUUAGGUUCGGCCCGGCCCGCCCCGGCCCGUGCCCAGCCCUAAUUCGAGGUACUUGCUAUUUUUCAUCCAUCGUUGAGUCCCGACGACGAUCCAUGAAGAUUAUGCCGCAUGUAUCCAUUUGACCAAGACAUGAUACAUCAACAAAGUCAACGCCAAGACAUAUUGCGUCUACAUCAGCAAAGCAUUAGGAGAUUGAAAUCAUGCAAGCCGAUCCCAAACAACCUGCCGACCUCUACACGACAUCACUGCAGAAGUCAACCUUCCAGAAGCUUGUCUGAGGAAUUGGUAUGCCUAACUAUUCAUAUGCAAUGAUUGUAGUUUCUCAUUUAGAAGUUAUGUCAAACUUAGGGGAGUAUCCAGAUGUAUACUCACUUGAUCUUAAUGUACUUUUUUUUCCCUAUGAUUAUGAGCAAUAUUCCCACUGGGUUUUUGCUACCUAACUAGGUUUUAACGAGGCACUCAUCUUGGGCUGAUCAUACCUUUGUGAGCUCUUCUACUUGCGUCCAAAAGACGUAUAGUUUUGACUUAAUGCAACUUCUCACUUUUCUCCUUAGUUUAUGGGUUUUCUCCCACCUUGGGUUUUACCAUAGCAAGAUUUUGUGAGUUUUACUUUUUAUGCAUUCUUCAGUUGAUCUGAGACUCGCAUUCGCUCAUUGUGCCGACGACUUCAUCAACUAUACUUGUUUCAUCACUGAAGACCUAAUGCGCCAUUUACUUGAGUAUUUACACACCCAAGGGGGAGUGUUGCAGUCCUAUUAGAUUAGGAAUGUGAUUAUGUAAAUCCUAGUAUAUUUUGGAAUAUCUCUUAUAUUCCUAUUAGGAGUUGAUUACAUAUUAAAUGUUGUAAUCAUAAAGGGAAAAGUUUUUACCUAUCCUACUACUAUGAAUAAAGGCACAAUGGGGUGGAAUAAAACACACCCACAAUUACACAUCUCUCAUCUUCUCUCUAUGCCGCACUCUCUCCCUUUCUCUAUGGCCUCCAUAAUUGUUUAGUAAAUUAUGCCUACAACAAGUAUUUGUUAUUAUUUUUUGUGAAAAUAGAGUAUUUAUUUUCGCAUUAAAUCUAUGAUAAUGUAAUUUAUCAAAUACAGUAAAAAAUUCCCUUUAAUUGAAAAAAAAUAUCAAUCUUUAUAAAGAAUUUUAAAUAGGGAACUUUAACGAAAAGCUCCCGAUACUGUUCACUUUAACAAAAAACCACAUUUUUACACUAAAAAGUCAAUCCUGGUACUAUUCACUUUGCCCUUUAUUUUGUCCUUAUCAUUAAAACUCAUAGUUUUCAAGCCUUUUUCAUUAGUUUUCCUUUUUAAAUAUGGUCAAAAUUUUAGUUUAUUUUUUUUUAUCGAACAAAAUUUCAGUUAAAUAGACUUGAAUAUACCUUCAGUUUAUUUGAAUAACUAAUUGUUAAUUAAAAGCUCUGAUCACCAAUUGAUAAUAUGGUCUACCAAAAGGUUUUCUGCCUAUCAUGAAGAAAAUUAAAACUAUAAGAAGGGGAAAAUUUUAAGGAUAUCAAGAAAACGUAUCAUGUGAUAAAUUCAUUUCUACAUGUAAUAAUAAACGUGGUCAUUUAAAGUCGAUGUGUCUUUAGUGAUAUUUCUCUUCAUUUGUUAGUGAAAGGUUUUAGAUUCGAUUAUCGUCAAUGACAAAUUUUAAACCAUAUUAUUGCUAACCCAUUGUGAGACUUAAUCUACUCUCCCACUCAAUUAAUGUAAAUAAUAUCGUUUGUUAAAAACAAAAAGUCGAUAUGUCUCACUCAAAAUAUAUCAAUAAAAAUUAGGGAAGUGUUAUUGACACUCCAAAAAUCUCAUUCUACACUCUUCACAAGUGUAUUUUUUUUCCAAAUAUAGAAAGUUGGAGUGUAGAAUAAGAUUUUUAGAGUGCCAAUAACAAUUCCCAAAAAUUAAACCUAUGUUCAUAAUUUUAACAAAAUAAUAAUGUCUCAUAUUCGGAGUGCACGUCAUGGCACCUAGCUUCAUAUUCUUCUGAGUUCUGAACGUGGAAAGUCUGUCCAGCAUAAUUUUGUUUACUUUUUCUAAUCCAGUUAGUCCUCAUCAGCGUAUAGCAUAUAAGUGGUAUAAAAUCUACAUCACAGCGCGUGGACAGAGAAAGCUGAGUCGAGUCGAGUCGAGGUGAGGUUCGAAUGUGAACUGCGAAAGCAACUAAAUUCUUAAAGAACAAGCGAGUCAACAGAAGAAACGAAGCUACUCGCUGAAGAAGGCACAAAAAUAACAGAUGUCGACGGAGGAAACGUGCAAGCCAAGUAGCCAUGAGUAGUGAGUUAGCCCUAGCUAGUGGGUUACUAGAAAUCUACGCGGUCCAUGUCCAUCAACAUCCACAGUAGUUGUGCUUGCGAUGCUCCUUCAAAAAGUGAGUUCCUAAAGUAUAAGGACUUUCUAGAUACAUAGUGUGUGUCAUUACAUAUAGAGAGUGUAUAGGGACAACAUUGAGUGAAAAAAUGGGGCUCACAAUCUUGAUUGAAGUUUUUAAUGCUUUUAAUUAAUUAAAAUAUGGUUAACAUAAACAAAAAAUGUGUACCUUAAGUGGAAAAUGAGGCUCAUAAUCAUGAUUGAAGAUUGGGUUGUGCUAUCCACACACUGCAUUUUACUUCUCACACAUCCCCUUGAUAAUUUAUGUUUGUUGAUCUUCUUCAAUUCAUCCGAUCCAACGGCUGAAAAUAAAAAAGGUGUGUGAAAGUAAAAUGGGGUGUAUGGAUAUCACACUCCUUGAAGAUUUUACUGUUUUUAAUGAUUUUAAUUAAUUAAAAAAUGUUAACAUAAACAAAAAGUGUGCAGCUGAUCAAAUUAUUACAUAAAAUUAUAAAAACUUCAAAGUUAGGGAUUCUAUUAUAAGGACUCUACCACUGAAGGCAAUAUUCCUUUAGGGACACAAAGAUUCCCUUUAAGUCCUUAAAUGAGUACUCAAAAGUGGUGGUGGAAGUUCCUAAAUGGAGAUGCUAAGUUUUCAAAUAUUUUAAGCCUUAGAUCUAAAUUAAUAUAAUCUUGUGGCUAUUAUGCAUUUGGUACUCACGGAUCCUGAAAAAUGAGGACAUUAGGAGAGCAAGACUCGCAAAGAAAAAUGGAGGAGAAAAUUCCCAAAUCAGUUGGAGAAAUUAAAGGAAAAUACGAAACUUAUACAAUUAAUUGAAAGGAUAAUAUUUAAUAAGCUAAUCUUACAAUUAAGGAAGAGUAUCUAAUUAAUUUAUUAGUUAUUUACGGGUAAAUUAAGAAUGAAAGUAACAAUAAGAUGACGUGGAAUCAUAAUUAUUGGACCUGUUUUAAUAGAGUGGACUAUUCCUAAUAAGGCUCACAUAAAAUGAACUUAUAUCUAGUUUACUCUUUUGUGACUAAAAUGUCACAGGUUCGAGUCAUGAAAUAACCUAUUUUCAGAACAAAAAUAAACUUGCGUAUGAUAAACGUUCCUCUGCAAACUCUCACAAAAUGGAGAGUUUGUUGGUUUAGUGUUGCCUUUUUUCACUUGCAAAAUACAAUUGAUUGCAAUGAACGGAUAAACUUGGGCACUUGUAUACAACGUUAGGUCUUGAGCGAGUUUGUGCAUGUUAUCUUUUCUUGUGUUUUUCUUUUUAAAAGAACGAACAUGUAUCAAUAUUGUAUUGGUCCAUGUCAAAGCGGGGAGCAAGCUCAUUUCCUUAAGAGCAAGUCUACGGGAAUGAACUGUGCCCAGCAUCUAGUCUAAAUAUCAAGCUGAGGGUCAGCGAAUUCACUCUAGCCCGUCGGGCUGCUUGGAACCCAGCCCAAGCCAGGCAACAGACCAGCCUAUUUUUGACAGACCCAAGAGCCGGCUUAUUUGGCUAGCGCGUGGACUAGACUCGCACUUGGCAGCAAGUAUGGGACAAGGGCAGACGCUGUCAGCCCAUUUGUGCUGUAGCGACUUGGCUUGCACAGAGCCGUUGGAUUUCAACCGGUAACAAAAUUUUAAAUUUUACUUUUAAACUGGACCGUCCGAUCACAUAUCAACGGUCCACGUUCCCUCUAAAAGGGGCCCAACGGUCAGAUUUAUGACCGUUGGCCACGUGGCAGAUCCUUAGCUCUUAGAUUUGAAUAUUUUUCAAAUCCAACGGUCCAGAUUAAUUAACUACAUUAAAAUUAAUUAAAAAUUAUAAAAAAAUACAGAAAUUUUCUUUUAUAAAAAAUACAGUAAAAUUUUAAAAAAGUUAGUUUUUUUCUAUAAAUACCUAACCCUCAUCUUCCACCUUACACCACAUUUCAAUAUUUUCUACUUUUUCUAUACUAUCAACAUUUCAAUAAUUUCUACACUUUAAGAGAAAAAAAUGUCUUCGUGGAAGCUCAUUGAAGAUGUUACGUUGUGUGAAUGUUGGGUUCACACUACUUAUGACCCGAUUACGGGUAAUGAGAUGGAUAAGCGAGAAAUGUGGAGUAAAAUUACGAAGGCGUUUUGCGAUGUACAUGGAAAUGACGCCAGAACUAGUCAAGGUCUUCAAGGUCGUUGGAAAAAAACUCAACGCAUCCUUUACUUGUUGGAAAAACGCCAUCUCUCAUGCUUUCGGUAACCUGCGUAGUGGGACAAGUUUAGCGGAUUAGGUGACAAUAUUUUUAUUUAUUUAUAUGCAUUCCACCCACAUCAAUAUUUUAAUUUAUUUAAUUUCGUAUGUAAUUUUUAUGUUAUUUCUUAAGUAAUUUUUAUAUGCAUUCCACCCGCAUCAAAAUUUUAAUUUAUUUAAUUUCUUAUGUAAUUUUAUUUAAUUUCUUAUGUCAUUUUUAUGUAAUUUAUAUGCAUUCCACCCGCAUCAAUAUUUUAAUUUAUUUAUUUGUGUUACACCCGCAUUUUUUAACACUAUCUUAUCCCACAUUUUUAUAGACACUACAAGCUCAAGCAUUCUACAAUUCAAAGAACCAGAACAAAUCAUUCAACAAAUGGGAAUGUUGGGAAAUUGUCAAAGAUUGCCCUAAAUACAAAAUUGUGGCAACCGGUCCAGAAGUUGUCAUGCACGGCAUGGGUCUACAUAGUUCGGCAGAACCAGACACGGCCGAACAAGAACUCGACACAUUUCAAGACACGGAAGGGACGCCUGAACAAGUGCCUGAUACCCAACCGACUCGUCAGUCCCUCAGGCCUCAAGGUAAAAAGGCAUCAAAGAAAAAAGGUAGUUCUUCCAAAAAUGACUACACUAAAUAUAUGGAGGAACUUGCUUGCCAAGGUGAACUGAACAUGGCACGGGAAAAGGCUAGAGAUAAGGAAAAAGUUGUUGCUAUGGCAGCAAUAAUAGCAGCUACUGAGGCCCGUGAUGCGGCAGCUGAUAGACAAAGAGAAAUAGUUAAUCGAGAGAACGAGCUGGUUAGACAAGCACUUCAUCGAGAAAAUGGAAUGCUUAGAGAAGAAAGGAUGGCUCAAGCAGAUCGUGACACUAUGAGCAAGUCUCUACUAGGACUGUCUCCGAAUUCAAAAUAUUUUUGGACAUCGGAAAAAAGAGAUGUCGUGCGAAGGAGGCGUGCAAGAGAUGCGGAAACAAGUCAAGGCGGUUCUAGCUACACAAAUCAUAGCAACCAAGAUCCUAGCACCACAUAUCCUAGCUCCAGAGACUUUGUAUAAUUUUUAUGUAAUUUCUUUUUUUUUUUAGAAUUUUAUUUAAUUUCUUAUGUUUUUUCUUUUUCUUUUUUUGAACUUUAUUUAAUUUCUUAUGUAAUUUUUAUGUUAUUUCUUAUUUCUUUUUAACUUUAUUUAAUUUCUUAUGUUAUUUCUUAUUUAUUUUUAAAACUUUAUUUAUUUUUAUUUUAUUUAUUAUGCAAUUUUAAUGUAAUUAUUUAUUUAUUUUUGUACUUUAUUUAAACACAUGAAAUAAGAUUACAUAAACUCACCAAAUAAGAUUACAUAAACUAACCAAAUAAACUUAAAAACAAAACACACUACAUAGAAUUACAUAAACUUAAAAAAAAAAAACAAUUUAUUCUUCAACCACAAGCCUCAUUUUAAUUAUCUUCGCCUUCAUGCAAUCCCCACUGGUGCUCAAUCAAGUCAUUCUGGCGGGUUACGUGCCAGUAUGGCUCUUGCACAUCAGUGUACCGCUGAACGAUGAAUUCAUUGUAACGUCCAUCGCGUUCCAACGGCUCGUGUUGCACAGGAUCUUCGGUCCGGUCAUGAGUACAGUAAAUACAUGUUCUUGAGUUGUUCAUCGGAUCCGGCUCAUAUUCAUCGACGGCAUCAUAAUCAUACUCAUCUUCAACAAUCAUGUUAUGGAGAAUAAUACACGUCAUCAUGAUGGAUCGAAGAGCCUCGACAUCAAACAUUCUAGUUGUAGCCUUGACAAUCGCCCAACGAGCGUGUAGGAUACGAAAACAAUGCUCGACAUCCUUCCUACACCCUUCUUGACAUUUUGCGAAGUGUUUUUCCUUUUCAGUCUGUGGAUGUGGCAUUGUUUUGACAAACAUUGACCACCUUGGGUAAAUGCCACCUGCAAAGUAGUAUGAUCCCUCGUAUUGGGUACCAUUAACCUAAUAUGUGCAUCUCGGCAAUUUUCCUUGCAGCAGUUCGUCGAACACUAGGGAUUGGGCAAGGACAUUUAGGUCAUUCUGAGCUCCUGGAACACCAAAAAAAGCAUGCCCAAUCCAUGUAUCAAAUGAAGUCACCGCUUCCAAAAUGAUGUUUUUGGCUCAUUUUAUGUCGCCAUAAGCUCCUUGCCACGCAUUUGGACAGUUUUUCCAAGUCCAAUGCAUGCAGUCGAUGCUUCCAAUCAUGCCAGGGAAGCCUCGCAUCUCACCCUUCCUCAGAAGCCUUCGCAUGUCCCUUGGCGUGAGUGUCCGGAGGUACUCAUUGGUGUAUAAGGCUUCAAUUGCAGAGCAAAACCAAAUUAGGGACUCCAGAACAGUUGUUCUUCCCAUCCUCGCGAUCUCAUCCACUUGAUCUGUAGAUGCUCCAUAUGCAAGUAUUCGCAAGGCAACCGUAAUUUUUUGCUCGGGAAUAAGACCUAGAACAUGAAAAGCAUCAUCUUUUUGCAUAAAGUAUGGAUCAUGGUUGCAAAUAGCACUCAUGAUUUUGUCAAACAAAUUUCGUUGCAUUCUAAAACGACGUCUAAAAACAUGAUUAGGGAAUAUGCUGUUGGGAAUAAAAUAAUCUUCUAAGAGAUCUUUACCUCGUCUUUCCCUUUUUCUAUCGAGGUUUGCAGCACGUCUGGGUUUGGCUAUCUGACUAACGGCUUCUAUGACACGGCGGGAAUGUGAGGCCCUCUGCCUUUUAUGGUGAUCAUCCUCAUCCUCCUCCAUGAAGAAAGCCUCAUCUCCACCCCCACCUUCCUCGAGAUUGGCCAAUUCUGCCUGUUGUGCCAACAACCUUUUCUGUUGCUCCUGCAACUGUUUAUAAACUCUCCUUGAAGAAGACAUUGUAAUAAGAACUCAAGAUUUGAAAACGAUAAACAAGGAUUUUGAGCUAAAAAUAAGGAUUGAGCUGGGUGUGAGGAUGGAUGUAGGGAUGUAGGGUUUAUAUGGACAAAAAAAGAAAGGAUGAGGUUCUGGACAAUGCCACGUGGCACUACAUGAUUGGUUGAAAAUCCUAUCGAAAUCUUGGCUAAAUUAUUGUAAACUGGAAGUGACACGUGGCACGUCGGGAUUGGUCGAAAAUCUUAUCGGAAAUCUAUCCACAAAAUAGUACGUUCGGAUAUUGACACGUGGCAUGACGUGAUUAGUUGAAAAUCUUAUCGAAAUCUUGGCUAAAUUAUUGUAAAACGGAAGUGACACGUGGCACGUCGGGAUUGGUUGAAAAUCUUAGAGGAAAUCUAUUCACAAAAUAGUACGUUCGGAUAAUGACACGUGGCAUAACGAGAUUGGUUAAAAAUCCUAUCCGAAAUUAAAACUAUUUUAUUUUUUUUAUUCUUUUAGAAAAAAUUUAAAAAUAUUUUAAAUGGGCUGGGUGCCAGCACAUUUUGUAGGGGUGGAGAUCGUUUGUGCCAACGCAUUUUUUCACUAGGUGCCAUCGCAUUUUUUUAGGGGUGGAGAUGCAUUGGCCUAUUACUGUUCAUUGUAGUCUAUUAUUGUUCACUGGAGUGGAUAAAUGGGCUAGGUGUUGGCACAAAGUCCUUAGGGGUGGACUUGCUCUAAGAGCCGAAUGCAAGUAUUGUCUGUUUUUUUUUAAUAUUAAUUAGCUCGAACUCUUUUCUAAUAUUAUCAUCAAGUAUAGAGAUUUAUUAUAAAAAUAAUUUAUAAAUCAUCUUAUAGGGUUCUUGUAAGAUCCCACAUCGAUCAAUGGAGAAUGGGUGAUGUGCCUUAUAUGUACAUGCUCCUCUCCCUAUAGUACGAGGCCUUUUGGGAACUCACUGGCUUCGGAUUACAUUGAAACUCCGAAGUUAAGAGAGUUCGGGCAAGAGCAAUCUUAGGAUGGGUGACCCACUGGGAAGUUCUUGUUUGAGUUCCCAAAAACAAAUUCGUAAGGGAAUAGUAAGCCCAAAGUGAACAAUAUUGUACUACGGCGGAGGCGAGUUUAGGAUGUGACAGAAUGGUAUCAGAGCCAUUUUGUCGUUCGGUCACUGGCGAGGACGCCAGGUUCCCCUUAAGUGGGGUGGAUUGUAUGAUCCCAUAUCGACUAACAUAGAUGGGGUGAUAUGCCUUAUAUGUACAUGCUCAUCUCCCUAUAGUACGAGGCCUUUUGGGAAUCAUUGGCUUCGGAUUCCAUCGGAACUCCAAAGUUAAGCAAAUUCGGACGAGAGCAAUCCUAGGAUGGGUACCCCACUAGGAAGUUCUCGUCUGAGUUCUCAGAAACAAAUUCACGAGGGAAUGGUAAGUCCAAAGCAGACAAUGUUGUGCUACGGCGAAGGCUGGGACGUGACAAUUCUACUCAUGCAUCAUGAGUUCAAAAUUCCUCUUUUAAAUUAUUAUAAUAUUUCUUAAUCGUCUGCCCUGAAUAAUAAUAAUUUAAAAAAAAUCAUCCCAAUUAGAAAUAUACAUAAAAAAUUAAAAAACAAAGAAUGCAAAUAUAGCAUAAGUAUUACGAAAUAUAUAAUACAAAGUCUCAUAAAAUUAAGAACAAAAUAUGUUCCCAAAUGAUCACGAAAACAAAUCCAUUACCUCUUCUAUGUUUCAAUAUAAACAUCGAAUCAGAAAAUAAAAGAUAAAAAUCUGACUAUGAUCUAUAGGAAUAAAUAUACAUCAAAACUAAAACUAUAUGUAUGUCAACGCCAAUGGAGGAAGAAAAAUAUAAAUUAAACAUGUAACAAAUUAAGAAAUCAACUGCAGCUUCGUCAAAUCAUAUUGGUGAUAACCCGGUGGUGCCAAAUGUAGAUCCAAAUUCAAGUCCAGAUUCAAGCACGACACCCUUUUGCUGCUAUUCGACUUCUUCAAAACCGGCAUCGGCGGUGACGCCUGAGUCCGAACAGCCGCAGCUUGCAUGACUUCCCUAUGUCUCCUCAUGUGUCCCCCAAGCGCUUGCCCAAUCGCAAACUCAAGCCCGCAAAUCGGGCACUCGUGCGUCUUGGGCUUAACCGGCGACCCCGGUGACUGUGCCAAAUGUAAAAGGUCGGCAGCCCCACCGGGCAUCAGCUUCGGCUUCUUGUGACUCGCUCUAUGGCCUCCGAGGGCCUGGAACGAGGGAAACUCCCGAUUACACGUCUUGCAUACGAAAACUCGGUCUUUGUUCGUGUUCUCGUGUUUGAUUGGGGAGGAAUCGGGUUCCCUGGACAAAAGCAUUAGGCAAUUGACCAAGUCUAAGGUCUCGUCUUCCCUGCUUCUCUUCAUGGCUGACAGGUUUAAGGUUUCGGGUUUAGGGUUCAGCUCGCAGGAGCAAAGCGAAGAAGUAAGCUGGAAAGGAAAGAUUUGGAAGUGGAUGAGAUUUGUGUGUGUGUUUUCGA
Molecule: long non-coding RNA, 17717 nt
Filed under: Malus domestica (apple)
Lineage: Eukaryota; Viridiplantae; Streptophyta; Magnoliopsida; Rosales; Rosaceae
Source: RNAcentral